Molecule: long non-coding RNA, 1394 nt
Organism: Felis catus (domestic cat)
Lineage: Eukaryota; Metazoa; Chordata; Mammalia; Carnivora; Felidae
Exons: 2
Source: RefSeq, a predicted model, not a curated record
UGUAAAACUUUUGUCUUUUGGGGAUUUUUAAACACACUUCUACUGAGCCCAUCCAACAGUCUCUCGAGGGGAGGCCAGAUGGGAAUUUGAGCCCUUCCACUGAGCACUUCUACUGAGUCUCUCGAGGGGAGGCCAGAUGGGAAUUAGCACUCCCAUCGCCCUGGUGACGCCUGCGGCGGGUGGGACUACGGGUGAUUUCUCCCCCUGGCAGGGUUGUGACUCUUCCAGUGUUUCCUCCGGCAGUGACCAGGGAGCUUUUCACCGCGUGGCCUCAAGGCGGCCUGGCAGGCCUCUCCAAGCCCAGGGGAUGCCUGCAGGCCGGGAUUGUCCUUCCGUGCGUAAACCCGGCUACAGCGCCCCCUGUUCGCUCAAACGCUAAUCCACUUGCCGCCCUGAGGUGUUUCAUGGCUAUGAUCCGAGUCCGAGUCCGCAGGAAGGAAGAGGAUCUGGGUGGGCCUCGGCCAAUCAGCCGAAGCGCUGAGGAUUUCCUCGGGAGGACGUUUUGCUGGCGGACGCGGUCCCCAGUGCUGUCCCGGAGCCCCAGCUGCCCUUCCCGCCACGGGCUUGGGACUUGCUGAGCCUCCACGGUCACGGCAGCCGGUCCUUCGCCGCGUCUCUUCAGGGCUUUCAUCCACGGACAAACCCACCCGCCUUGAGCGCGCGGCCACCCCUCUCUCCUGCUUCAGGUGUCUCGGGACACAGCGCAGCCGCGUUGCGAGCAGUCCUGCCAAGCACAGCCAUUCCGGGGAAAGCCGCGGCUGCCAAAACGGCCGGUCCACUGGCUCGGGACGCGCGGCCCGUGGCGGAAUCUCAGGACUCGGGAGGCCUCGAGGUCCCCCGGGUUCACGGUCCUCAGCACGAAGGGGAGGGUGGCCUCGGGAGGCACUUGUGUGGGACGGGCGUGGGUAGUGUUGGGUUUGGGGCCUCAGUGACUCUCCUGAGUUCUCGGUCCUGGAAAAAACGCUCCGACCUUCAGAAUUCUGAUUUCAGCGGACUUGCUUAGCUCGAAUACGCCUUCGUUUUAGCCCGGAUCCGGAGCUCGUCGUUGACUUCAGGGCACCCGGGGCGAUUCCCUGAGACGCCGAUGUUGGCCGAAGACCUGCGACAGAAGCCCUGUUGCAUCCAGCCCACGGCGCCUGGGGUCCUGGGCCGACCUCAGCUGUUACGGACCGGCCUGGACCGGGCGGGACCGAAGUGCGGCCCCACCCUCUCUUGCUGAGACCCUAGCCCUCAGCGUGGCAGAUCUGGAGUAAGGGCUUUCAGGGUGCAGGCUCUGAGGACAGUCCAGGCAGCAAGAAGGGGGCCAUUUGCAAACCAGGAAAACUUUCACCAAAAUCCAACCAUGCCGACACCUCGACCUUGGACUUCCAGCCUCCAGAACUGCGAGAAAUAAA